Molecule: transfer RNA, 65 nt
Filed under: Polylabris halichoeres
Lineage: Eukaryota; Metazoa; Platyhelminthes; Monogenea; Mazocraeidea; Microcotylidae
Description: tRNA-Tyr
Source: RNAcentral
ACUAGUUUAGCAUAAGUUUAAUGCGUUGGGUUGUAGUUCCAAUUAUACAAAAUUUGUAGCUAGGG